Molecule: ribosomal RNA, 468 nt
Filed under: uncultured bacterium
Lineage: Bacteria
Description: partial 16S ribosomal RNA
Rfam family: Bacterial small subunit ribosomal RNA
Source: RNAcentral
GGGGGGGGGUGGGGGGGGGGUUGGCGGAUGCGGGGCGAGCGGGAGGGCGCGGCUGGUGGGGGGUGCUCGAGGGGCGAACGGGUGGGUAACACGUGAGUAACCUUCCGUUGACUUUGGGGUAAAUUCAGGAAACUGGGGCUAAUCCCGGAUGGGCGCUUCUGGUGCAUGGGGGGGUGUGGAAAGUUUGGGCGGUUGGUGAGGUCUUCGCGGCUGAUGAGUUUGUUGGUGGGGGAGUUGCUGUCGACGGGUGUGACGGGUCGCCGGCCUGGGAGGGUGACCGGCAACAUUGGGACUAAGAGACGGCCCAGACUCCAACGGGGGGCAGCAGUGGGGAAUAUUGCACAAUGGGUGGAAGCCUGAUGCAGCAACGCCGCGUGCGGGAUGACGGCCUGCUGGUUGUAAACCGCUUUCGCCUGUGACGAAGCGUGAGUGACGGUAAUGGGUAAAGAAGCACCGGCUAACUACGUG